Molecule: ribosomal RNA, 498 nt
Filed under: uncultured bacterium
Lineage: Bacteria
Description: partial 16S ribosomal RNA
Rfam family: Bacterial small subunit ribosomal RNA
Source: RNAcentral
AUUGAACGCUGGCGGCAUGCCUUACACAUGCAAGUCGAACGGUAACGCGGGGCAACCUGGCGACGAGUGGCGAACGGGUGAGUAACGCAUCGGAACGUGCCCAGGAGUGGGGGAUAGCCCGGCGAAAGCCGGAUUAAUACCGCAUACGACCUACGGGUGAAAGGGGGGGAUCGCAAGACCUCUCGCUAUUGGAGCGGCCGAUGUCAGAUUAGGUAGUUGGUGGGGUAAAGGCCUACCAAGCCGACGAUCUGUAGCUGGUCUGAGAGGACGACCAGCCACACUGGGACUGAGACACGGCCCAGACUCCUACGGGAGGCAGCAGUGGGGAAUUUUGGACAAUGGGCGAAAGCCUGAUCCAGCCAUGCCGCGUGCGGGAAGAAGGCCUUCGGGCUGUAAACCGCUUUUGUCAGGGAAGAAAUCUUCUGGGUUAAUACCUCGGGAGGAUGACGGUACCUGAAGAAUAAGCACCGGCUAACUACGUGCCAGCCGCCGCCGUAA